CAGUAGCCACGGUAAUACGAAGGGUGCAAGCGUUACUCGGAAUUACUGGGCGUAAAGCGUGCGUAGGUGGUGGUUUAAGUCCGUUGUGAAAACCCUGGGCUCAACCUGGGAAUUGCAGUGGAUACUGGAUCACUAGAGUGUGGUAGAGGAUAGUGGAAUUUCCGGUGUAGCAGUGAAAUGCGUAGAGAUCGGAAGGAACAUCUGUGGCGAAGGCGACUAUCUGGGCCAACACUGACACUGAGGCACGAAAGCGUGGGGAGCAAACAGGAUUAGAUACCCCUGUAGUCCCUGUCUCUUAUAC
RNAcentral lists this ribosomal RNA (301 nucleotides) under uncultured bacterium. RNAcentral describes it as "partial 16S ribosomal RNA". It matches the Rfam family "Bacterial small subunit ribosomal RNA", at positions 509 to 807 of the family's 1533-position model. The record is from RNAcentral.